AAACUUUAAAACGCCAUCAAACUCUAACCGAUGCACGGCUAAAAUUUGGUCCCAUCCUCGGUGAUAAUGCAGGCGUUGUGUCCUUUACUCCCCUUGGCUGCCCCUCCUCUCGUGGGCACUACCCUAUAAAUCGUUGUGAAUAAAGCAAUCCUCGUCCUCCAUGAUCCAAUUCCAUUCCUCACAAAUAAUGUAACUGAGAUAGAGAGGGAAUAAGGUAUAAUUGGGUGGGAGAGCGUGAAUGAGAGACGGAAGAUUUGCAAUUGGCAGAGAAGAGGGUGGUUUCAGACGCACGCUAGCGUUGCGCCACCAAAACUUGCAAGAGGAGUGAUGGUGCCACGCUGCGUGCGUCUAAAAUCUUUAACCCCUUGAUUUUCUUUUUUCUUUUUCAUAUAAUUAACGCCAAUUGAAGGAAUUCAAACAUCAAACCUGGACUGGAAGAAAAAUGGUGAAGAGCUGAGAUGUUAGGUUUUCCAAAUUUGAAUCUUGGUUUUGGAAAUUGGAAUAUUAUUGUUUAUUUUGAUUUUCAUUGUUCUAGUUCUCUGCAUUUAUAUCUUCCUGUUUUUCUUUUGUGUUAAUUUGACACCCUACUAGUCUCCAGUUUCGAUUGGCAGAGUGAAAUGACAGGCCACAUGACAAGGAAAUGCAAUUUCUGUAAAUAACAGUGGAGCAAUGAUCGUGCCUACCAAGCAGGUGAGUUCGUAUGCUCUUACCUCGCACUUAACAUGCUUGUUGCUAGAAAUCUGAACCAUAAGAUUGACCUGUCCGAAAUCUGAAUCCACUAGUUUGGUUCGAUUUGAGUUCUAUACAUGAGUUGAGUCACUUUAAAACUUGGUUAUAUUUUAUUAACCUAAGUAUUUUUUUUGUUUUUUAUUAAAUCAAGUUUAAAUUUUACUAGAUAAUUUCACAAGCUUAGUUUUAUAAUAAAUCAACUUGAAAAAACUCGUUAAGGUCUAGAAAACCUAAAUUCAUUAUUUUUUUUUAAGUUUCUGGGUUUUUAUAUUAAUUUUUAGUUUUAUAUUCUCUAUUCUAUUUGAAUUAGGAUUGUAAUUUUUUCACUUGAUUUUUAUUUUAUUUAGGAGUAGUGAACCUUUUAAAUAAACAAACUUGAAAAAUCAAUAAUAAAGUAUGAAUUCAGUCAAUUCUAUCUUUUUAAUUGUUGUUUUUUUUAUAUUAUUUUCAUCCGCGUGACUUUGAUGUUGAAAUUUAGCGUGUGAAGUACCCUUGACUAUCAUUUUAUUAUUGUUUUUUAAGGAUAUUUUUACGUUACAUGACUAAUUAUAUGUAAACCAAAACAGUUUAUUUCAUCAGUUCAAUUAAUUUAAUUAGUAAGACAAAACAGUGUGACUGGCUCGAUCUAGUGCAGUGCAAUUGGCUUGAUCUAAUAUACUGCGAAAUUUCUCUAAGCCGAUGUGACAUAAUUGACUUCACUAAUCCUGUUUUAUGUUAAAGAUAAUGAUUGUUUGUCACUAUGUUUUAAAAAUAUUUUUUUAUUUUAAAUUAAUAUAUUUUAAUGUUUUCAAAUCAUUUUAAUAUUUUCAAAUUAUUUUAAUAUAUCAAUUAUAAAAAUAAUUUUUUAAAAAUAAAAUAAUAUUUAUAUUUUUAAAUAAAAUCAUUUUAAAAAACAAUUAAUACCUUAUUCCCUCAUAGCAGAUAUUAAGGACGGUAGCUGUUUGCUUCUUAUAGCAAGAUAUUAAGGUGCAGAUCAAAACAAACCGGGUCUCGUGUUCUGCGAAGUGUGAGGUGUGAACUUUUCAAAGGCCUCGAAUUAAUGGACUCUUGUAAGAAACAGAACACUUGGCACAGAUCUUUGAUGGUACUUCAGAAUUGAACCUGCUACUGCUUCAGCCGCCUAUAAAAGAAGAUGAAAACCGUUGCUUUCUCUCUUGCACUGGAAAACGCAUUUUUAUAGCCCUGCAUUUAGUAAAAUAAAAUAAAAUAUUUAUUUCGCGAAUUAACAUGUCAGCAACGAGUUACACUUUUAAUUAUCGUGAUAAUAAAUUGUAACAUUUUAAAUCACGAUAUUAAUUAAAUAUCGUGAAAUAAGAUUUGAAUUGA
RNAcentral lists this long non-coding RNA (2055 nucleotides) under Populus tremula. RNAcentral describes it as "long non-coding RNA (PTRE_LNC001954)". Lineage: Eukaryota; Viridiplantae; Streptophyta; Magnoliopsida; Malpighiales; Salicaceae. The record is from RNAcentral.